This 763-nucleotide ribosomal RNA is filed under the name uncultured Streptococcus sp. RNAcentral describes it as "bacterial SSU rRNA". It matches the Rfam family "Bacterial small subunit ribosomal RNA", at positions 28 to 776 of the family's 1533-position model. Lineage: Bacteria; Bacillati; Bacillota; Bacilli; Lactobacillales; Streptococcaceae. The record is from RNAcentral.
GACGAACGCUGGCGGCGUGCUUAACACAUGCAAGUAGAACGCUGAAGGAGGAGCUUGCUCUUCUGGAUGAGUUGCGAACGGGUGAGUAACGCGUAGGUAACCUGCCUGGUAGCGGGGGAUAACUAUUGGAAACGAUAGCUAAUACCGCAUAAGAGUAGAUGUCGCAUGACAUUUGCUUAAAAGGUGCAAUUGCAUCACUACCAGAUGGACCUGCGUUGUAUUAGCUAGUUGGUGAGGUAACGGCUCACCAAGGCAACGAUACAUAGCCGACCUGAGAGGAUGACCAGCCACACUGGAACUGAGACACGGUCCAGGCUCCUACGGGAGGCAGCAGUGGGGAAUAUUGCACAAUGGGCGCAAGCCUGAUGCAGCCAUGCCGCGUGUAUGAAGAAGGCCUUCGGGUUGUAAAGUACUUUCAGCGGGGAGGAAGGGAGUAAAGUUAAUACCUUUGCUCAUUGACGUUACCCGCAGAAGAAGCACCGGCUAACUCCGUGCCAGCAGCCGCGGUAAUACGGAGGGUGCAAGCGUUAAUCGGAAUUACUGGGCGUAAAGCGCACGCAGGCGGUUUGUUAAGUCAGUUGUGAAAUCCCCGGGCUCAACCUGGGAACUGCAUCUGUGACUGCAUAGCUAGAGUACGGUAGAGGGGGAUGGAAUUCCGCGUGUAGCAGUGAAAUGCGUAGAUAUGCGGAGGAACACCGAUGGCGAAGGCAAUCCCCUGGACCUGUACUGACGCUCAUGCACGAAAGCGUGGGGAGCAAACAGG